UGCCAGCCGCCGCGGUAAUACGGAGGGUGUAAACGUUGCUCGGAAUCAUUGGGCGUAAAGCGCACGUAGGCGGUCUGUUAAGUCAGAUGUGAAAGUCCACGGCUCAACCGUGGAAGUGCAUUUGAAACUGGGAGGCUUGAGUAUUGGAGGGGGUGGUGGAAUUCCCGGUGUAGAGGUGAAAUUCGUAGAUAUCGGGAGGAAUACCGGUGGCGAAGGCGACCACCUGGCCAAAUACUGACGCUCAUGUGCGAAAGUGUGGGUAGCGAACAGGAUUAGAUA
RNAcentral lists this ribosomal RNA (279 nucleotides) under uncultured bacterium. RNAcentral's name for it is "partial 16S ribosomal RNA". It matches the Rfam family "Bacterial small subunit ribosomal RNA", at positions 506 to 784 of the family's 1533-position model. The record is from RNAcentral.